Molecule: ribosomal RNA, 591 nt
Filed under: uncultured Polaromonas sp.
Lineage: Bacteria; Pseudomonadati; Pseudomonadota; Betaproteobacteria; Burkholderiales; Comamonadaceae
Description: bacterial SSU rRNA
Rfam family: Bacterial small subunit ribosomal RNA
Source: RNAcentral
ACGGGUGAGUAAUAUAUCGGAACGUGCCCAAUCGUGGGGGAUAACGUAGAGAAAUUUACGCUAAUACCGCAUACGAUCUAAGGAUGAAAGCGGGGGAUCGCAAGACCUCGCGCGAUUGGAGCGGCUGAUAUCAGAUUAGCUUGUUGGUGAGGUAAAAGCUCACCAAGGCGACGAUCUGUAGCUGGUUUGAGAGAACGACCAGCCACACUGGGACUGAGACACGGCCCAGACUCCUACGGGAGGCAGCAGUGGGGAAUUUUGGACAAUGGGCGAAAGCCUGAUCCAGCAAUGCCGCGUGCAGGAAGAAGGCCUUCGGGUUGUAAACUGCUUUUGUACGGAACGAAACGGUCUGCCCUAAUACGGCGGGCUAAUGACGGUACCGUAAGAAUAAGCACCGGCUAACUACGUGCCAGCAGCCGCGGUAAUACGUAGGGUGCGAGCGUUAAUCGGAAUUACUGGGCGUAAAGCGUGCGCAGGCGGUUAUGUAAGACAGUUGUGAAAUCCCCGGGCUCAACCUGGGAAUUGCAUCUGUGACUGCAUAGCUAGAGUACGGUAGAGGGGGAUGGAAUUCCGCGUGUAGCAGUGAAAUGC